UGAACGCUGGCGGCGUGCUUAACACAUGCAAGUCGAACGAACCUUCGGGUUAGUGGCGGACGGGUGAGUAACGCGUGAGAAUCUGCCCUCAGGAGGGGGAUAACAGCUGGAAACGGCUGCUAAUACCCCAUAUGCCGCGAGGUGAAAUGAAUUUCGCCUGAGGAUGAGCUCGCGUCUGAUUAGCUAGUUGGUGUAGGUAAUGGCUCACCAAGGCAUCGAUCAGUAGCUGGUCUGAGAGGAUGAUCAGCCACACUGGGACUGAGACACGGCCCAGACUCCUACGGGAGGCAGCAGUGGGGAAUUUUCCGCAAUGGGCGAAAGCCUGACGGAGCAACGCCGCGUGAGGGAUGAAGGCCUCUGGGCUGUAAACCUCUUUUAUCAAGGAAGAAGAUCUGACGGUACUUGAUGAAUAAG
Molecule: ribosomal RNA, 414 nt
Filed under: uncultured bacterium
Lineage: Bacteria
Description: bacterial SSU rRNA
Rfam family: Bacterial small subunit ribosomal RNA
Source: RNAcentral